CGGGAAUAACGAUGACGAUCGUCUGACGGAGCAACGCCGCGUGAGUGAUGAAGGUUUUCUGAUCGUACAACUCUGUUGUUAGGGAAGAACAAGUACCGUUCGAAUAGGGCGGUACCUUGACGGUACCUAACCAGAAAGCCACGGCUAACUACGUGCCAUCAUCCGCGGUAAUACGUAGGUGGCAAGCGUUGUCCGGAAUUAUUGGGCGUAAAGCGCGCGCAGGCGGUUUCUUAAGUCUGAUGUGAAAGCCCCCGGCUCAACCGGGGAGGGUCAUUGGAAACUGGGGAACUUGAGUGCAGAAGAGGAGAGUGGAAUUCCACGUGUAGCGGUGAAAUGCGUAGAGAUGUGGAGGAACACCAAUGGCGAAGGCGACUCUCUGGUCUGUAACUGACGCUGAGGCGCGAAAGCGUGGGGAGCGAACAGGAUUAGAAACCCCGGUAGUCCACUGG
This 449-nucleotide ribosomal RNA is filed under the name Bacillus paralicheniformis. RNAcentral describes it as "bacterial SSU rRNA". It matches the Rfam family "Bacterial small subunit ribosomal RNA", at positions 356 to 799 of the family's 1533-position model. The record is from RNAcentral. Lineage: Bacteria; Bacillati; Bacillota; Bacilli; Caryophanales; Bacillaceae.